RNAcentral lists this ribosomal RNA (1499 nucleotides) under metagenome. RNAcentral's name for it is "bacterial SSU rRNA". It matches the Rfam family "Bacterial small subunit ribosomal RNA". The record is from RNAcentral.
AGAGUUUGAUUCUGGCUCAGAACGAACGGUGGCGGCGUGGAUAAGACAUGCAAGUCGAGCGGGAUUUUACUGGUAGCAAUAUUAGUAAGGUUCAGCGGCGCAAGGGUGCGUAACACGUGGGCAAUCUGCCUAGGGGAGCGGGAUAGCUCGGCGAAAGUCGAAUUAAUACCGCAUAAGACUACUGGAAGCAUUUCCGGGAUGUCAAAGGUGGCGCAAGCUGCCGCUCCUGGAUGAGCCCGCGGCCUAUCAGCUAGUUGGCGGGGUAACGGCCCACAAGGCUAUGACGGGUAGCUGGUCUGAGAGGACGACCAGCCACACUGGAACUGAGACACGGUCCAGACACCUACGGGUGGCAGCAGUCGAGAAUUUUUCUCAAUGGGGGAAACCCUGAAGGAGCGACGCCGCGUGGAGGAUGAAGGUCUUUGGAUUGUAAACUCCUGUCAUUUGGGAACAAAUACCUAAUUUAACUGAUUAGGAACUGAUAGUACCAGAAGAGGAAGAGACGGCUAACUCUGUGCCAGCAGCCGCGGUAAUACAGAGGUCUCAACCGUUGUUCGGAUUCAUUGGGCGUAAAGGGUGCGUAGGCGGUCGCGCAAGUCGGAUGUGAAAUCUUAGGGCUCAACCCUGAAACUGCAUUCGAUACUGCGUGGCUCGAGUACUGGAGAGGAGACUGGAAUUUACGGUGUAGCAGUGAAAUGCGUAGAUAUCGUAAGGAAGACUAGUGGUGAAGGCGAGUCUCUGGACAGUUACUGACGCUGAGGCACGAAGGCCAGGGGAGUAAACGGGAUUAGAUAUCCCGGUAGUCCUGGCAGUAAACGGUGUACGUUUGGUGUAGGCGGAUUUGAUCCCGCCUGUGCCGGAGCUAACGCGUUAAACGUACCGCCUGGGAAGUACGGUUGUAAGAUUAAAACUCAAAGAAAUUGACGGGGGCCCGCACAAGCGGUGGAGUAUGUGGCUUAAUUCGAUACGAUGUGAAGAAUUUUACCAGGGUUUGAUAUGUAUCGUGUUGGCGAUGAAAGUUGCCUAGCCGUAGUAAUACGGCGCUUUACACAGGUGCUGUAUGGCUGUCGUCAGCUCGUGUUGUGAGAUGUUGGGUUAAGUUUCGCAACGAGCGUAAUCCUUGUGUCCUGUUGCCAUUCCUUAAAUGGAAGCACUUUGGACAGACUGCCCUGUGAAACGGGGAGGAAGGUGAGGAUGACGUCAAGUCAGUAUGGCCCUUACACCCUGGGCUGCACACGUACUAUAAUGCUCAGUACAAUAUGAGCCGAAACCGUGAGGUGGAGGAAAUUGAUAAAACUGAGCCCAAUUCGGAUCGCAGGCUGUAAUUCGCCUGCGUGAAGCCGGAAUCGUUAGUAAUGCCGUAUUAGUUAUGACGGCGUGAAUACGUUCCCGGGCCUUGUACACACCGCCCGUCACAUCAUGGGAGUCGUUUGCACCUGAAGUACACCAAUGGUGUCCUAUGGUAUGAGCGGUAACUGGGAUGAAGUCGUAAUAAGGUA